Molecule: transfer RNA, 72 nt
Organism: Nematocida parisii ERTm3
Lineage: Eukaryota; Fungi; Microsporidia
Rfam family: tRNA
About the family: Transfer RNA (tRNA) molecules are approximately 80 nucleotides in length. Their secondary structure includes four short double-helical elements and three loops (D, anti-codon, and T loops). Further hydrogen bonds mediate the characteristic L-shaped molecular structure. tRNAs have two regions of fundamental functional importance: the anti-codon, which is responsible for specific mRNA codon recognition, and the 3' end, to which the tRNAs corresponding amino acid is attached (by aminoacyl-tRNA synthetases). tRNAs cope with the degeneracy of the genetic code in two manners: having more than one tRNA (with a specific anti-codon) for a particular amino acid; and 'wobble' base-pairing, i.e. permitting non-standard base-pairing at the 3rd anti-codon position.
Source: Rfam
GCUCCUUUAGUAUAGUGGUUAUUAUGGCACGUUGUGGCCGUGCAGACCUGAGUUCGAUUCUCGGAGGGAGCA